Molecule: small nuclear RNA, 103 nt
Filed under: Prolemur simus (greater bamboo lemur)
Lineage: Eukaryota; Metazoa; Chordata; Mammalia; Primates; Lemuridae
Source: RNAcentral
GUGCUCACUUUGGCAGCACAUGUACUAAAAUUGGAACAAUACAGGAUUAGCAUGGCCCCUGUGUAAGGAUGACACACAAAUUCGUGAAACAUUCCAUAUUUUU